Formica exsecta is the source of this 730-nucleotide long non-coding RNA. RefSeq lists it as uncharacterized. The transcript has 4 exons. NCBI's taxonomy places the organism in Eukaryota, Metazoa, Arthropoda, Insecta, Hymenoptera, Formicidae. The record is from RefSeq and is a predicted model, not a curated record.
AGUUUGUUGCCGCCCGCGGGCGGGAACAGACGUGUUCGGACACGUUACGCGUUUGUCCUUUGGAUCAUGUUUUUGAGUUUUAUCUUCCCCUUCUAAAGAGGAAUCCUUUCUAAUUGUUCACUUAAUCCUUCUCACCUGGCCGUGUGGUGGGUAAUUAAUUUGUGCCAAUCAAACAAAGAAGAAGAAGAUAAUAGCUAGAUUGUGAUAGCCGGUCGUAACGUUUUUAAAAUAUUUACUCUACUGGAGAAUAAAUUUGAAGAAGCCUGCAAUCUUCGGGUUGGAAAACAUUUAAAUCUUAAUUUUUCUUGCAAUGAUGUUGCCUGAAACCUCAAUGAUGAUCAUAUACUGGCGACAGCAGCAACAAAUGGUGCAGUGGUUGUUUGGAAUUUAAAUAAACAAUCUCGGUCAAAACAGGAGCAUGUAUUUAUAGAUCAUAAAAGAACUGUGAAUAAAGUGAGCUUUCAUAUGAGAAAAACCUAUGUGGUUAAUAUCUGGCUCACAAGAUGGUACUAUGAAAUGUUUUGAUUUAUGAAUAAAAGAAACCAUUAAAACUUUUUAUAGAAUCGGUGAGAGAUGUUCAAUUUUGUUCACAACAACCGCAUACUUUUGCUGCUGUAUCCGAAAAUAGACAUGUACAGCAAUGGGACAUGAGAAAGCUGGAUCAGUAUUUUCAACAUUUUACCGCACACAGUGGUCCGAUAUUUACUUGUGAUUGGCAUCCUGAAGCCAC